Molecule: small nuclear RNA, 107 nt
Organism: Cynocephalus volans (Philippine flying lemur)
Lineage: Eukaryota; Metazoa; Chordata; Mammalia; Dermoptera; Cynocephalidae
Source: RefSeq, a predicted model, not a curated record
GGGCUCACUUCAGCAGCAUAUAUACUAAAAUUGGAAUGAUACAGAGAAGAUAAGCAUGGCCCCUGUGCAAGGAUGACAUGCAAAUUCAUGAAGUGCUCCAUAUAUUA